Molecule: ribosomal RNA, 1485 nt
Filed under: Aphanothece sacrum FPU1
Lineage: Bacteria; Bacillati; Cyanobacteriota; Cyanophyceae; Chroococcales; Aphanothecaceae
Description: bacterial SSU rRNA
Rfam family: Bacterial small subunit ribosomal RNA
Source: RNAcentral
GGAGAGUUUGAUCCUGGCUCAGGAUGAACGCUGGCGGUAUGCCUAACACAUGCAAGUCGAACGGUCACUUAGGUGAUAGUGGCGGACGGGUGAGUAACGCGUGAGAAUCUGCCCUCAGGAUGGGGACAACAGUUGGAAACGACUGCUAAUACCCGAUGUGCCGCAAGGUGAAAGAUUUAUCGCCUGAGGAGGAGCUCGCGUCUGAUUAGCUAGUUGGUAAGGUAAAGGCUUACCAAGGCAUCGAUCAGUAGCUGGUCUGAGAGGAUGAGCAGCCACACUGGGACUGAGACACGGCCCAGACUCCUACGGGAGGCAGCAGUGGGGAAUUUUCCGCAAUGGGCGAAAGCCUGACGGAGCAAUACCGCGUGAGGGAGGAAGGCUCUUGGGUUGUAAACCUCUUUUCUCUGGGAAGAAAAAAAUGACGGUACCAGAGGAAUAAGCAUCGGCUAACUCCGUGCCAGCAGCCGCGGUAAUACGGAGGAUGCAAGCGUUAUCCGGAAUCAUUGGGCGUAAAGCGUCCGUAGGUGGUUUUUCAAGUCUGCUGUCAAAGCCUGGGGCUUAACCCCAGAUAGGCAGUGGAAACUGGGAGACUAGAGUUCGGUAGGGGUAGCGGGAAUUCCCAGUGUAGCGGUGAAAUGCGUAGAUAUUGGGAAGAACAUCGGUGGCGAAGGCGCGCUACUGGGCCGAAACUGACACUCACAGGACGAAAGCUAGGGGAGCGAAAGGGAUUAGAUACCCCUGUAGUCCUAGCUGUAAACGAUGGAAACUAGGUGUGGCUUGUAUCGACCCGAGCCGUGCCGAAGCUAACGCGUUAAGUUUCCCGCCUGGGGAGUACGCACGCAAGUGUGAAACUCAAAGGAAUUGACGGGGGCCCGCACAAGCGGUGGAGUAUGUGGUUUAAUUCGAUGCAACGCGAAGAACCUUACCAGGGCUUGACAUGUCGCGAAUCUCUUAGAAAUAGGAGAGUGCCUUCGGGAACGCGAACACAGGUGGUGCAUGGCUGUCGUCAGCUCGUGUCGUGAGAUGUUGGGUUAAGUCCCGCAACGAGCGCAACCCUCGUUUUUAGUUGCCAUCAUUAAGUUGGGCACUCUAGAGAGACUGCCGGUGACAAACCGGAGGAAGGUGAGGAUGACGUCAAGUCAGCAUGCCCCUUACGCCCUGGGCUACACACGUACUACAAUGGUUGGGACAACGGGUAGCGACCCCGCGAGGGCAAGCGAAUCUCAUCAAACCCAGCCUCAGUUCAGAUUGCAGGCUGCAACUCGCCUGCAUGAAGGAGGAAUCGCUAGUAAUCGCAGGUCAGCAUACUGCGGUGAAUUCGUUUCCGGGCCUUGUACACACCGCCCGUCACACCAUGGAAGCUGGCCACACCCGAAGUCGUUACCCUAACCCUUGUGGAGGGGGACGCCGAAGGUGGGGCUAGUGACUGGGGUGAAGUCGUAACAAGGUAGCCGUACCGGAAAGGUGUGGCUGGAUCACCUCCUU